This 505-nucleotide ribosomal RNA is filed under the name Cervidellus vexilliger. RNAcentral describes it as "SSU rRNA". It matches the Rfam family "Eukaryotic small subunit ribosomal RNA", at positions 88 to 590 of the family's 1831-position model. The record is from RNAcentral. Lineage: Eukaryota; Metazoa; Nematoda; Chromadorea; Rhabditida; Cephalobidae.
CGCGAAUGGCUCAUUAUAACAGCUAUAAUUUACUUGAUCUUGACACAAUCCUACUUGGAUAACUGUGGUAAUUCUAGAGCUAAUACAUGCAUUAAAGCUCUGACCUCUCGGGAAGAGUGCAUUUAUUAGAACAAAACCAAGCGGCUUCGGCUGUUUCUGGUUGACUCAUAGUAACUGAGCUGAUCGCAUGGUCUUGCACCGGCGACGUGUCUUUCAAGUAUCUGCCGUAUCAACUUUCGAUGGUAGUGUAUCUGACUACCAUGGUGAUCACGCGUAACGGGGAAUAAGGGUUCGGCUCCGGAGAGUUCGCCUGAGAAAUCGCGAACACAUCUAAGGAAGGCAGCAGGCGCGAAAAUUACCCACUCUCAGCACGAGGAGGUAGUGACGAAAAAUAACGAGACCGUUCUCUUAUGAGGCCGGUCAUCGGAAUGGGUACAAUUUAAACCCUUUAACGAGUAUCUAUGAGAGGGCAAGUCUGGUGCCAGCAGCCGCGGUAAUUCCAGCU